AUAUCAAUAAGCGGAGGAAAAGAAACUAACAAGGAUUCCCCUAGUAACGGCGAGUGAAGUGGGAAAAGCUCAACUUUGAAAUCUGGUACUUUCAGUAUCCGAAUUGUAGUCUCAAGAAGUGUUUUCUGUGCCGGUCCAUGUAUGAGUCUGUUGGAACACAGCGUCAUAGAGGGUGACAACCCCGUUCAUGACAUGGAUCCCGGUGCUUUGUGAUACACUCUCGAAGAGUCGAGUUGUUUGGGAAUGCAGCUCAAAUUGGGUGGUAAAUUCCAUCUAAAGCUAAAUAUUGGCGAGAGACCGAUAGCAAACAAGUACCGUGAGGGAAAGAUGAAAAGCACUUUGGAAAGAGAGUUAACAGUACGUGAAAUUGUUGAAAGGGAAACGAUUGAAGUCAGACGUGCGUGAUGCGGUUCAGCUUUAGUUCGCUAGAGUGUACUCCGUAUCUUUGCAGGCCAGCAUCGGUUUUGUUAGUCGGAUAAAGGUUUGAGAAAUGUGGCAUCUUAGGAUGUGUUAUAGUCUCAGACUGAAUACGAUUGAUGGGACCGAGGAACGCAGCGCGCCGCAAGGCAAAGGUUCCGACCUUUUCGCGCUUAGGAUGCUGGU
This 603-nucleotide ribosomal RNA is filed under the name Cystobasidium sp. BG02-6-15-006A-1. RNAcentral's name for it is "eukaryotic LSU rRNA". It matches the Rfam family "Eukaryotic large subunit ribosomal RNA", at positions 40 to 630 of the family's 3401-position model. Lineage: Eukaryota; Fungi; Basidiomycota; Cystobasidiomycetes; Cystobasidiales; Cystobasidiaceae. The record is from RNAcentral.